AACGAACGUUAGCGGCGCGCUUAACACAUGCAAGUCGAACGAGAAAGGGCUUCGGCCCCGGUAAAGUGGCGCACGGGUGAGUAACACGUGGGUAAUCUUCCCUUGAGCGGGGGAUAACAUUCCGAAAGGAGUGCUAAUACCGCAUAAGACCACGGCUCCGAAAGGAGCUGCGGUUAAAGCAGGCCUCUUCAUGAAAGCUUGCACUCGAGGAUGAGCCCGCGGCCCAUCAGCUAGUGGUAGGGUAAUGGCCUACCAAGGCAAAGACGGGUAGCUGGUCUGAGAGGAUGAUCAGCCACACUGGGACUGAGACACGGCCCAGACUCCUACGGGAGGCAGCAGUGGGGAAUUUUGGACAAUGGGGGCAACCCUGAUCCAGCCAUGCCGCGUGCGGGAAGAAGG
This 399-nucleotide ribosomal RNA is filed under the name uncultured bacterium. RNAcentral describes it as "bacterial SSU rRNA". It matches the Rfam family "Bacterial small subunit ribosomal RNA", at positions 29 to 414 of the family's 1533-position model. The record is from RNAcentral.